GACGAACGCUGGCGGCGUGCUUAACACAUGCAAGUCGAACGGAAAGGCCCUGCUUUUGUGGGGUGCUCGAGUGGCGAACGGGUGAGUAACACGUGAGUAACCUGCCCUUGACUUUGGGAUAACUUCAGGAAACUGGGGCUAAUACCGGAUAGGAGCUCCUGCUGCAUGGUGGGGGUUGGAAAGUUUCGGCGGUUGGGGAUGGACUCGCGGCGUAUCAGCUUGUUGGUGGGGUAGUGGCUUACCAAGGCUUUGACGGGUAGCCGGCCUGAGAGGGUGACCGGCCACAUUGGGACUGAGAUACGGCCCAGACUCCUACGGGAGGCAGCAGUGGGGAAUAUUACACAAUGGGCGGAAGCCUGAUGCAGCAACGCCGCGUGCGGGAUGACGGCCUUCGGGUUGUAAACCGCUUUCGCCUGUGACGAAGCGUGAGUGACGGUAAUGGGUAAAGAAGCACCGGCUAACUACGUG
RNAcentral lists this ribosomal RNA (468 nucleotides) under uncultured bacterium. Its description in RNAcentral is "partial 16S ribosomal RNA". It matches the Rfam family "Bacterial small subunit ribosomal RNA", at positions 28 to 507 of the family's 1533-position model. The record is from RNAcentral.